RNAcentral lists this long non-coding RNA (9829 nucleotides) under Fragaria vesca (wild strawberry). Its description in RNAcentral is "long non-coding RNA (FVES_LNC003296)". Lineage: Eukaryota; Viridiplantae; Streptophyta; Magnoliopsida; Rosales; Rosaceae. The record is from RNAcentral.
UGAAAGAAACUGCAACUUCAUGUACAGUUGUAGGUGCUCUUGUUGUCACUAUGAUGUUUGCUGCAGCAUUUACAGUUCCUGGCGGAAACAAUGAAGAUACAGGUGCACCUAUGUUCUUAAAGGCAAAGGAGUUCAUGGUAUUCAUUGUCUCAGAUGCAAUAUCAUUGUUUUCUUCUACUACUUCGGUGAUGAUAUUUUUAGGAAUUCUCACAUCACGUUACAAAGAAGAUGACUUCCUAAAAUCUCUACCGACCAAGAUGAUAUUGGGCCUUUUCACACUUUUUCUCUCCAUCGCAACCAUGAUGAUUACUUUUUCUGCUGCCCUUUACAUUAUGCUUCAUGGGAAACUAUGCAUCAUUAUCCCAGUUAUAUUACUUUCUAGCGUUCCAAUCGCCUCAUUUGUCUGGAUGCAAUUUCCCUUCUUUGUGGAGAUCUUCGUUUCCACUUACGGGGCGGAUAUAUUUGAUAAGAAAAAUCUAGAAAAAACUUGGGAAACAAUCUUAGAUUGCUAAUGUCUGAUGAAGAUUAUGUUUCAUUUUGCUGCUAUGUAAGAAGUGCUUGUAAUGGAAGCUUGGAACAAUGUACACUGCUUCCUAUUUUAUAGUGUAUAUGCUAUUAUCUAUAUGCUCACCAGAUCACCUGAUCAGUUCCGUUUGCAUUAUGGCAUAACACCUGCAGAAUUGGAAUAUUGAUUCAUUGUUGCAGCAGUUUAUUGAUGUACAUAUCUGUGACAUUGAGAUUUGACCUCAUUUAUUCCUACAGAAAACACUUGCUUUCAUCUCAUCUGACUUUUAUAGCUAUAGCUCGAGUAGUUCUCUUUUCAAUAAGUGGGUUUGACCAUUUGAGUUCGAUUAAUCAUUAAAUUUGAUUAGAUUUGUUGUUGCUAUACAAAAUUGGGGAGACAUCAUGUUUUUGUUAAAUAAGAAAUUUUUUUUUUUAGUAGGAUAUACUUCAAAUAUAAAUACCACUAUAAAUACGACAAUUCAGUUUAUGAGGACUAUGUAAAAAUCGACAUGUUUCAAUAUUCUGACCUAUUUUAAUACUGAAAUUUCUAUGAUUAAGCUCAGUUCAUACUCCUCGAUCUUUACCUAAACAGACCCCUUAAUUUGUUAAUCAUCAAAAUAAACCACCUAUGAAGUAAAUAGUCUUUUCUCCAGGUAAAAGAAAGUUACUAAAUUAGUAAGAAGCCUCUCUUGGCAUUCGUUUGAGCGGGCCUCUAGUUGGGCCUUCUGUAAUUCUAGAAAAACACCUUCUCCUUCUCCUUCCUCGCACCCUAAUCGCUCUCACUGAUCUAUUUCAUUUAAAUUCUCCGAUCACCGUCCACGAUCAAACCGAACAUUCCAAAUCCUCCGCCGCAAUUCUUUGUUUUCUUUAAUUCCUACGCAAAAUUACGCAGCUUUGAUUUCCUGCGAGGCUUGAGCUAGCUUGGCUCUGUUCAGGUCUCUCAUAUAUUUCUGUGUUUUUGAGCUGUUUAUGGUUUGGUUAUUGAAACCGCGAACAGUCUUCAGGAAAUACUCUGUCCCUUGAGACUCUGUAUCGUAUACUUUGCCCCUCUAAAAAAAUUGGUGGUGUAAUUGGGAAAGGUGGUGGCAUAAUCAAGUCCCUGAGAGAAGAGACCCGGUCCAAGAUUACAGUUUCUGAUUCUGUUCCUGGCUCAGAUGAGAGAGUAAUUAUUAUAUUUAGUCCGCCAACCAAAAUUUCGAGGAAACAAAAUAGUGAUGAAGAUUCACAUAAGGCUGAUGAACAGAAGCCCUUGGAGCCACACUGUGCUGCCCAAGAUGCACUGUUGAAAGUUCAUGAUAGGAUUGUGGAGGAAGAUCUCUAUAAUGGGGUUACAUUUGAUGAUGAUAACGAGAAUAUUGUUGUCACAAGACUUCUAGUUCCAAACAACUUGGUAGGAUGUCUGCUAGGAAAGCGUGGGGAAGUUAUAAAAAGAUUGCGAAGUGAGACACGUGCAAACAUUCGUGUUCUUCAUGCAGAUCAGCUUCCUACUUGUGCACUGGAUACUGAUGAAUUGGUGCAGUUACUCUUUUCUUUUUGAAUUAAAUUCAGUUUACCCUCUUAUGGUUUAGGGGUGACUUCAUGUUAGUCCCUACACUUUUAUUUUCAUCAGUUUACCCCUUGAACUCUUCAAUUUCUGUCUGCCGUGCCUAAAUUCUCAUAUUCCGUUUGAAUUGACCUUUAAUUAUCAGCAGUUAAGGUCCGAUUUGGACAUAUAAGGUAUGAUUUUGACAUAUAAGGUCCGAUUUGUCCAAAUUCUAAAUAUUGGCCUCACAGUUAAGGUUAAAAUUAUCAGCAGUUAACGUUCGAUUUAGACAGAAUAUAGGACAUUUGGUCACGCUUGAGGAAAAUUCAAAAGUUUGAGGGGUAAAUUGAUGAAAUUGAAAGUAUAGGGAUUAACAUGAAGUUACUCCCGAACCUCAUGGGGGUAAACUGAAUUUAAUUCUUUCUUUUUUAUUGUUUGCUUCCUUGCCCACUUUUCAACGUAUGACAAAUGACAACAAAUUUAGUUCAACUUAUAUUCCAAAUUUAGUUAUAUGAGUUUAACUAUUGGUUCCUGUGUGAAGGAUUGUGUUGGUUAUGGGCAUUAAAAUGCCUUGUAAAGCAUUGUCUUUGCUUCUAGAGUAACUAGCUUAUAGGUGGGAGGGUUUUCUUUUGUCUCUUGAAUCUUGAUGCUAAGCAACGGAUAUGGCAUGUGUUUUUACUGUUUAUAUAUGUUUUUUCCAAUCAUGCAUGGGAUACCUUUUGUUUAGUAUGAGGUAUGGCAUUAUUUCUUCAAUGUACUUUAGGUAUAAUUUUUGGGUUUGUUAAUACCUAUAGUACAACCACCGGCAAGUUUUAGAAUUUCUGUCUAGGUAGGUAUAAAAGGUUUAACAAGAUCAUUUGUCUACUUCCUCUUUUUCUGGGUGUUGAAGACGGUUUUAAAUUUCUAUUUUUACAAGUUAAACGAUAUUGAAUUGAUUUUGGUGCGAUCCCUGGUAGCUUUGUUGCUGUAACUUCAAAUAUGCUUCAAGGAAUAUUUUCUGAAGUUAUCUAUCUGUUUGUUUUCUAACAUCCUUACUAACUUGAACAUCUUUUGCAGAUAUCUGGAAAACCAGACGUGGCAAAAAGAGCACUUUAUGAAGUGUCUACUCUAUUGCAUAAGAAUCCACGCAAGGACAAACCUCCUUUGGGAUUGGCUAUACCUUUUGGGGGUCAGGGGUUUCAUCUGCGAGGAGCCCCAAAUAUGUUCCCACCUGGCAAUCCAAUGUGGCCUUAUAGGGAACCUUCCCACGGUAUGCCACCAAUGUCAUGGAUAGGAGAAUAUGAAAAUCAUUCCUCUGGAUAUGGUCGAGGAGAUUUUGAUCGUGAUCCUGCGGGGCAUGGGGUUGAAGUUUCAGCUGAGUUUUUUAUAAAGAUUUUGUGUUCAGGUUAUUGGCAAGGGGGGUUUUAAUGUGAAACAGUUACAAGAGGAAACAGGAGCCAAUAUUCAUGUUCAGGCAUGUCUCUGCUUUUGAGGUAUGCAGAUUUUUAAUACAAAACCAUAUCCGUAUGUCUAGCUUAUUUUCAUAUUGGACCUCACAUGGAAAACCUACUCAUCAACUGUUUCUUGGUGGAUUUAUAUGCCACAUUAUAUGCUAGCGGUAGAUCACCUUGCUGAUACUCUUUCAGGUGCUGCGGAGUCCAAGGUCACAAACAAUUGAGGCAAAUCUUCAGCUUCAAAACAAAGCAAGUGAAUUAUCUGAUAAAGGUACGAUCACAACUAGGCUUCUUGUUCCAUCGAGUAAAGUUGGCUGCAUCCUUGGACAAGGAGGAUAGGUUAUUAAUGAGAUGAGAAGGAGAACCCAGGCAGAUAUUCGUGUGUACUCGAAAGAUGAUAGGCCUAAGUGUGCAGCUGAAGAUGAAGAGCUUGUGCAGGUGAUGCUAUUGCGUCCUUUCACUGUUUUAUUCGACUUAUAUAAAAAAAGUAUUGAACGAGAAAGAGCAUGUGAAACUGAUCAUUGGGAAAGUACGUACGUUAUUAGAGUUGUCGAAUGUUAUUCGAUACGUUUAGCUUUGGAUUUGCUAUUUUGAAGAAGCUUGUAAGAAAAAAGACGUUGUGCUUGUUUCAGUUGUUUGAUGUUGUAAUAAAGUCUAAACUGUGAUUUGUGUUUGAUUCUACUCAUUCUAGUCAAUUACUGGGGUGAUCUUUGUGUAUGAUUCGAGUUAGUUAAUUACUGGGGUGAUCGAUGACCCAAUGAUCAAGUGCAUCUUACAAUUAAGUCGGAUUGAAUCUACUUCACCAGACAUUAUGUUCCUGCAGCUAGCUUCCCGAAUAAUAUAUAACUGAAACAAGCUAUCAUUUCAUACAAAACCAAUUCAGCUAAACCAUGAGCUAGGUUGGAAAUGACUUUAUCCAUCGCUACCGCAAACGUGCAUGAGAGUCUUGAUAUCUUCUACCAAGUUACCCUCUCAGAGUCUCAGACCAACAAAAUUCAGAAGUAGCUAGGCGAACUACAUCUUCAAAGCAGUGGACAACAAAAUUUGUUGUUAAUUAUAUUCGGUAUCCAUAUAUAGGAAGAAGAGUGGCCUCAAGAGCAAAAGUUCAGCUGCAAAAGGACAGAAACAACCCCUAACUGGGAGAGCAAUUGACCAAACCUCAUUCCGAUCGAAUAAAAGCUCCUAAUUAAGUCCUAACCCUAGCUCUUAUGCCACUCUUGUUUUCCAGAGCUGCUCCAUCAGUAUUUACUUUGUACCUAUUCGUAUUGCAGGGGUGGACCAUAUCCCAGGUACAACUUCAAUUCUGUUCACUUUUGGUUCAAUGUCCGCAGCAGAGUACGUACGUCGGUACUAUAUUAUAUGAUGAGCUUGCUUUGCAGGAUUUGAAUACAGAAAUUAACAUCGUAAUUAAGUGCUAAUCAUCAAAUUAGCUGUCGCUCUUUGCAAUUAACUGGGAAAGCGUUGGGCUUCUUUAAUUUGGGCCUUCAGAAAAGUUGGGCCAAUGACUUCCAAAAUGGGCCGUCCCCCGCCUUCAUUCUCUGUAAGACUGUAACAUCGCAAGAAUAUGGGAGAGCUCAACCAUGCUCGAAUUUAUCUCUCUACUCUCAGAUGGGGAGUACCACGCGAAGGUGCUCAAUCAUCCUAUAAUUGUUGCUAAUCUUUUAUCUCGGAAAUCGAGAGCUUAUCAUGCAAAUAUUAAAUUGGACCUCCCGUCCAAAACUUUGCAAGCAAGAGCAAAGUGAAAUGUCAUCAACUCAUUCGCUACCAGAAAACAAUUAGCACAUGAUGUUUUCAUUAACCUAACACUCGUAAAUUAUUGUUCAAUUCAAACAAAACUGACGUCCCAUUUGUGUUAUAUUGCUGCCAUCAACUACUCAUUUGCUAUCUGAAAACAUAUGAUAUUCGAUCAUACACCUAACUCUCUCCAUAUUAUUGUUCAAUUUGAGCAAACUGACGUCCCAUUUCCAUAGUCAUCCUUAUGCAAUAUCAAAUGGGAGCACUGGAAAAUUAGUUUGCUAUAUUUUCUUAAUAUAAGUGGGGCGUUAGCCUGAAUUGAUAUCUACAUGAUGAAGAGCGAGAGAUGCAUAAAAAAAGAAUCUUGCAGUCCUUCAAAUAAGAAAAAUGACCCAAAAACAAAAACUGCAAAUAUGGUUUGUACGUCAAAAUCUCAAACUGGAUGGACAAGAACUUGUUUGAUGUUGGUUUAAUCACAACUCGCAUAAUCUCCCGAAUCUUUUCAUUCUUCACUUGGCCUUCAUACCUUUGAUUCUGUGAAACAGUAUAUAAGUCUAGAAUUAAGUAAUUAACAUUCAUUCCACGCGGAUGCCUGUGAUAUAUAACAACUAAAACUUUCAGUUGACCAUCUUUAUUAAAUAGAUUUUCAGAGAACUCGAAUAUAUUGAAUUUUCAGAGAGGGGCCGGGAAUGAACAUUUAUUCUUGCUUAAUCCUAAUCUAAUAUUUCACCCUCCCACGUACAUCACUUGAACAGAUAGAGACCUCAUACCCUAUAAUCCAGGACAAUUUACUUUACGAACAUAUUCCACACUUGAAGAAAAGAAGAAGAAGAAGAAGGUAAAACUAUAUGGUAUAUAUAGUAACAUUUCACAUAUCUUUUAUUUUUUAUUUUAAAAAAAACACACACAUGACUCAUACAUGUCCUACUACAUUUUAAUAUAUUUCAUUUUGAGGCUGUGGUGACUAAGAAAAAGUCUUUGUAAGGUAAAGAAUUGUCCUCAUUAGAUAAGAGCUAGUAAACUAAGUUCUCAUCUCAGUGAUUACUGAGUAAGAGUCUUAAAAGUGGUAAUAUAUCAUAUGUUAACAUAUAUAUUGAAUAGUUAACCGAAAAUAAGUUGCCAAGUUAGCAAGAAACAAUAAUGUCAAAUGCAGACCCAAAUUACCAUGUGGUAGCCCGUCGACCGUCGUGUAGAACAUCACAACUCUGAUGGCAACUGGCAUGAAUCUUCUUAAUCUUUAAUUUGCCAAGUCUUUUAAUACAAACGUUGACGCAAAUGGGAAAUGAAAAAUAAAAAUAAAAAACACGAUUCUUUUAUCUUUAAAUCAGAGGUAAGGGUACUGCAUUUCCUGCACGUAGAACUCAGAAGCUAACUACAGAUCGAUUUCCGAAACAUAGUUUGUCUCUUCUUUCCGAUAAGUAAAUUGACGAUCGAUCGAGGAUAAGAUCAGAGAAUCAAGACCCCAAGUCCACCGUUUACCAGCUCUCCCACUUCCACAGGUACUACUGUAUAUUUCUCUGAUCAACAAAUACAAAAACUUGACUACGCCUUGCAGCUGCAAUUGAGCUCAUUUCAUAUGUUUGUGUUUUUCUUCUUGACAGAUCUAGAGCAUAUGGCAGCUACGGCGGCCUUCUCCAGUGCUAUCGUGCUUAAACUUUUAACCACAAAUAACUAUGAAGAUUGGAGUUUUCGGGUCAAAACCUAUUUGCUGGCCAAGGGUCUUUGGAAGGUGGUCGAAUCCGCCAUGGAACCUCCUAGAGUAGAAGAUGGUGAGGCCGAAUUUGAGGCUUGGAGUGAGAAGAACGCAGAGGCUUUGCAUGCUAUUCAUAUUACUUGCGGGGAAGAUAUCUUUCCUUUUAUCCGGGGAAUCGACACAGCUAAAGCUGCCUGGAAUACUUUGGAAAAGAAAUUGAAGCCGGCUGGACUACCAAAAACAGAAGGUACGUACAUCUCAAAAUAAACCGAUGAAGGAAAACAUAUAUUCAAUAUUUGUCAUCGCACAUUAUCGGGUAGUGGAUUUUCAUUUUUCUUGAUUCAUAUAUAGACUUGGUAGAAAUUAUCCUUUUUUCUGAUUAUUGUCCAGAUGCGAGAUCUGAGCAUCAGUCCCCAAUGGAUGGUGAACUACAGCUAAAAGACCUCAAACCAGAACCAGUAAUAGAAGGUAUCAUCUCGAUCGACCCUCCUAUACUUUUUUCCCACGGUGCUAGUAGUUUAUUUGUUUAUUGGGACAGAAGGCUUAUAUUUUUCCUUGAGAGAAUGACGUCAGAGUCUAUAACAAAACAAAAAAUAAAAUGUCAAUUGCAAACAUGACUUACCUGUAGGGCAAUCGAUUUGGGCAGGAUGCAACAACAAUGCCAGUUCCACCACCAAUGAUCUUGACCGCGGCUCCUAUCAACAUUUCUUCGAUUGUGUGGAAUAUUAUUGGAGGCGUAACAACGAAGGUGAUGCCCUCGAGUUUCUUAAAGAGUAUCCACACCCAAUAAGAGAACUAAGACAUCCAUCAUCCGACAUUCCAGCUCUUCACUUCGCAAUGAUGAACGAUAAUUCGACUAUUGUAGAUGAGUUGGUGCGAAUAAUGACAGAGGACGACUUGGAAGAAAUAUUGGAUCCUUCUGGUCGUACAGCUAUUUGUUGUGCUAUUGAAAAUCCUUAUACAGUUGCACUGGAAACUGUAAAAGUCAUGAUUGAAAAGAACAAGAAGUUACUUAGCAUUGUUGAUCCUUCCACCAAUAUGAUCCCGCUUGUCAUGGCUCAUGGAGCUACAUGGUACAGUGUUGACGUGGUUAAGUAUCUGAAUUCUGUCACUCCACUCGAAACUCUCAAUGCUCACCAAGCAGCCCAAAUUAUUUCUCAAGCUUUUCUUCUUAAAAGAUUCGGUAAGUAAGAUUUUCACUUACUCGAUCAUCAAUUCAUCAUAUAUAACUAAUUUGAUGUCUCCUAGCAAUUAGUGAGUCUGCCAGUCUGGUAGUCUUCCUACAACAAAUAUAUUUUUUCUAGAGUUUGUUUAUAUAUUUCUCAUGUUAUAUUUAUUUUCUUUUUUUGACUUUAUUACAGAUAUUUCGUGGGAUUUAAUCCAGCGCUACCCAAGUUUGGGUAUUACUAAAGACUUAUCCGGAAAAUAUCCUUUGAAUAGAUUGGUUGAGAGCAUGAAAUGGGAACAUUUAUUUUUGAGUGAAACCGGACAACUUCUGGCAACAAUGGAUUUAUGACCGUAACUAGUCUACCAUAUUUUUCUCUUCUUUUUUAUUAAGCUUCUGUCCACUACUCAUCCAAGGUGCCUAAAUUUUUGUGUUUUCACAUAUCCUGAUACAGGUAUAGUCAUACCACCUUCUCCGAAAAUAGAUGAUAACAGUACCAUAAACGUUAAUGACCCAGAAAAUCACAAAUGUAAUCAAAGGUGUCUCAUUCACUCGGGUAUGUUUACCUAAUUCACAACGACUACAACAACAUAUGCUCAACCCCAUCGAUCUUUUAUUCGACAUCUCUUCAUUUCGUUACAACUAUAUGUUCACAUAUUUGUUCUUGAAUUUUUACAUUGCAGUUACCAGUUUAUUCAGACGAUUUUUCGGAGGACUUUUGGGUAUGAUAGGUUACCGCACAUCCAUGAUUUUCCCAUUCAAUUGUGUGUUACUUACCAAAUUAUCUAUAUAUACGUUGUUAAUUGUAUAUUGUCUUCAUGGUUAAUGUAGGAAUCAGUCGCAUACAACGUAUGAAAUUGGUACAUGCCCAAGUUCAUGAAUUUUUACAUUGCAUUUGUGAAGUGAUGAAAAAUAAAGAUGUUACUCAAAUACAAGAUGACAGCCUUCUUCGGUCAGCCAUUUUCCAAGCAGUAGAACAAGGAAAAAUUGAGUUCAUCACUCAUAUAUGUAGUGCAAAUCCAAACAUCUACCAAAUUACUAAUGAACAAGACAUGACCUUGUUUCAAUUUGCAGCUGACUGUCGUCAAGAAAAUAUAUAUAGCCUCGUGUAUGUAUAUUAUCGCAUAAAAAGAAUUGAGAUUUUUCAGAGGAGAGACAAGUUUGACAAUAAUAUGCUACAUAUAGUCGGAAAUUUUUCGUCAUUUGCCCAAACUAGAGUUGACAGUAUACGGGGUGCAGCUUUACAAUUGCAGCGAGAACGACAAUGGUUUAAGGUUAGUAUUUAUCUAUUUUCAAAUUUGCUAGUCUUUUUGUUUUUGGUUGGGAAUACCAAUAUGUUACAAAUAAAUUCGCUAAAAGAGAAGAAAAUUAUAAGUUAUCAGUAUCAUCAUGUUGUGUAAGAAAGUUCAAAUUUUACCAUGCAUGGGAUGAAAUGCAGGAGGUGCAAUCUCAGGCAGAGCUUGAGUCACUUGAAGUUAUAAAUCAUAUGGAUCAAGCGCCACCGCGUGUGGUAUUUACCAAAUAUCAUAGAGAAUUAAUGAAGGAGGGAGAAAAGUCAAUGAAAGAAACUGCAACUUCAUGUACAGUUGUAGGUGCGCUUAUUGUCACUAUGAUGUUUGCGGCAGCAUUUACAGUUCCUGGCGGAAACAAUGAAGAUACAAGUGCACCUAUGUUCUUAAAGGCAAAGGAGUUCAUGGUAUUCAUUAUCUCAGAUGCUAUAUCAUUGUUUUCUUCUACAACUUCGGUGAUGAUAUUUUUAGGAAUUCUCACAUCACGUU